RNAcentral lists this long non-coding RNA (438 nucleotides) under Mytilus galloprovincialis (Mediterranean mussel). The record is from RNAcentral. Lineage: Eukaryota; Metazoa; Mollusca; Bivalvia; Mytilida; Mytilidae.
CCCAAUUAUUCAAUUUUUGAUGAAAUCAAACAAAGUUUAAUUUUGGACCCUUUGGGCCCCUUAUUCCUAAACUGUAGGGACCAAAACUCCCAAAAUAAUCCCCCAACCUUCCUUUUAUGGUCAUAAACCUUGUGUUUAAAUUUCAUAGAUUUCUAUUUACUUAUACUAAAGUUAUGGUGCGAAAACCAAGAAAAAUGCUUAUUUGGGCCCCUUUUUGGCUCUUAAUUCCAAAACCUUUGGGAUCUCAACUACCAAAAUCAAUCCCAACCUUCCUUUUGUGUUCAUAAACCUUGUGUUUAAAUUUCAUUGAUUUCUAUUUACUUAUACUAAAGUUAUUGUGCGAAAACCAAAAAUAAUGCUUAUUUGGGUCCUUUUUUGGCCCCUAAUUCCUAAACAGUUGGAACCAAAACUCCCAAAAUCAAUCCCAACCUUCCUUUU